Molecule: ribosomal RNA, 911 nt
Filed under: uncultured archaeon
Lineage: Archaea
Description: bacterial SSU rRNA
Rfam family: Archaeal small subunit ribosomal RNA
Source: RNAcentral
GGGUGAUCCUGCCAGAGGCUACCGCUAUUGGAGUUCGAUUAAGCCAUGCGAGUCGCGAGUCUUAGGGACUCGGCGUACCGCUCAGUAACACGUGGGUAACCUGCCCUAUGCUGGGGGAUAACCUCGGGAAACUGAGAAUAAUACCCCAUAGUUCACCACGCCUGGAACGGUUGGUGGAUGAAAGCUCCGGCGGCAUAGGAUGGGCCUGCGGCGUAUCAGGUUGUAGGGGGUGUAAUGUACCCUCUAGCCAUCUACGCGUACGGGUGUUGGGAGACAUCGCCCGGAGAUGGAUUCUGAGACACGAAUCCAGACCCUACGGGGUGCAGCAGGCGCGAAAACUUGGCAAUGCGAGCAAUCGUGACCAGGGAACUCCAAGUGCAUCGGGUAAGACCGAUGCUUUUCUUGACUCUUCAAAGGUCUUGGAAUAAGGGGUGGGUAAGGACGGUGCCAGCCGCCGCGGUAAUACCGGCGCCUCAAGUGGUAGUCGCUUUUAUUGGGCCUAAAACGUCCGUAGCCGGUUUGGUACAUUCGUGGGUAAAUCAAGGCGCUCAACGUCUUGAAUUCUGCGAGCACGGCCAGACUUGGGACCGGGUGAGGUGUGGGGUACUCUCAGGGUAGGGGUAAAAUCCUGUCAUCCUGAGAGGACCACCUGUUGCGAAGGCGCCACACUAGAACGGAUCCGACGGUCAGGGACGAAGCCUAGGGGCACGAACCGGAUUAGAUACCCGGGUAGUCCUAGGUGUAAACGCUGUGGACUUGAUGUUGGGAGUGCUCCGAGCACCCUCAGUGUCGAAGCGAAGGUGAUAAGUCCACUGCCUGGGGAGUACGGUCGCAAGGCUGAAACUUAAAGGAAUUGGCGGGGGAGCACUGCAACCUGAGGAUUGUGCGGUUUAAUUGGAUUCAACGCCGGG